UGGAGAGGAAGAAAAGAUACAGGUUCAGAAGCAAUAACUUUUUUUAUGCGCAGUGUACGAUACCUGCAUCAUUUCGCACAUUCAUUUCUGCAAUCAGUGGCAGUGUAUGACUUUAAAUUUAUCUUCACUUCAGUUUCGGUUUUGGUCCAAAUAUGAAGUUUUUAAAAGAAUAGCUUAAACAUAGAUAGCUGAGGAUGCUCAAUUUUGGAACCAAAAAAAUUAAAUAUUGAAGGAAGAAAAACUGAACCAAAAUAUUUACGUAGCUCAAGUGUAAAAGAUACGUACAAAUGUAACAAACCUUUCCCAGUUUAUGAAGAACGCGGUCAGCAAAAUGGUGGCGAGAGCAAGAACAAAGCAGACAGCAGCAACCACCCAUGUCGGUGUGUACUGCGGAGAUAUGGGCUCAUCCUCCAAAGUCCGUGUUUCCUGAGAGUCUGGAAAAGGAAUUUGAAAGUUGCCUGGAACAUGAAAAGAUUGCGAGAAUGGGAUAGUAGAAGUACAUUCUGAGAUUGGCUAAGGACUAAUCAGAACUACAGAAGUUCUAGAAGGAUUCUCCUGGAGUAUGCAUCUCACGUUCGUCACGUGAAGAAGGUUCCAAUUUUGCUGUUAGCACACUUCAAAGUGGUGGCUAUGGCCUCAUCAGAUUCUUUAACUCAAUAGCAGAUCAAUGUCAAUGAACACUGAUUAUCUCGUUUUUAGUAGAAGCUACAUACGGCAGAUGCCGCACAUAUACUGAAAUAGUCUUCUUCGAAGCAUAAAUUUGAUUGCACACUGGGGGGAAGAGACAAAUUCACAGGGCAUUGGUCAUGGAAAUCAUCAAAAUGACGUGGGCAACACUUGGUGGUAAAUGUUCCAACCAAAACAUGCACAGAAUGUACAAAACUGAAUCCACAUAUCCACGGAUAACAAUUAGAUAUGGGAAUUGCAAAUCCAGUAAUAAGAUAUGUUACAACAUUUAAUCGAAUUUAUUGUUAAUCAGUCUUUGAACUGUUGAAUUCACAUUUUUUUCCCCAAAGAAUACAACGUUACAUAUCAUACACAUAUACUAGGUAUAUCACAAAAUCAGACAGACAUCUCGGGUACAAAAUAUCAAUUUCUUGAUGAUCGUCCAAGUUCCCAAGCACGUAUACCCAGUCAUCUUCACAAACUUAUGCAUUGUAGUCUUUCCUAUGACCAUCCUCCUUCCUUAAGUAGCACCAUCUUUACCUCCCAAGAUGUUCCAAGUCCAAACUCUAUUGCAGAAAAAUCAUCUCACCAAGAAGCCACACAGAUAAUCACGUUAAAACUGCCAAA
Molecule: long non-coding RNA, 1293 nt
Organism: Populus euphratica (Euphrates poplar)
Lineage: Eukaryota; Viridiplantae; Streptophyta; Magnoliopsida; Malpighiales; Salicaceae
Exons: 3
Source: RefSeq, a predicted model, not a curated record